This 433-nucleotide ribosomal RNA is filed under the name uncultured bacterium. RNAcentral's name for it is "partial 16S ribosomal RNA". It matches the Rfam family "Bacterial small subunit ribosomal RNA", at positions 29 to 507 of the family's 1533-position model. The record is from RNAcentral.
AACGAACGCUGGCGGCAUGCCUAACACAUGCAAGUCGAACGAGACCUUCGGGUCUAGUGGCGCACGGGUGCGUAACGCGUGGGAACCUGCCCUUAGGUGCGGAAUAACUCCCCGAAAGGGGUGCUAAUACCGGAUAAUGUCUUCGGACCAAAGAUUUAUCGCCUUUGGAUGGGCCCGCGUUGGAUUAGCUAGUUGGUAGGGGAAAAGCCUACCAAGUCGACGAGCCAUAGCUGGUCUGAGAGGAUGAUCAGCCACACUGGGACUGAGACACGGCCCAGACUCCUACGGGAGGCAGCAGUGGGGAAUAUUGGACAAUGGGCGAAAGCCUGAUCCAGCAAUGCCGCGUGAGUGAUGAAGGCCUUAGGGUUGUAAAGCUCUUUUACCCGGGAUGAUAAUGACAGUACCGGGAGAAUAAGCUCCGGCUAACUCCGUG